AUUGAACGCUGGCGGCAGGCCUAACACAUGCAAGUCGAGCGGAUGAAGGGAGCUUGCUCCUGGAUUCAGCGGCGGACGGGUGAGUAAUGCCUAGGAAUCUGCCUGGUAGUGGGGGAUAACGUCCGGAAACGGGCGCUAAUACCGCAUACGUCCUGAGGGAGAAAGUGGGGGAUCUUCGGACCUCACGCUAUCAGAUGAGCCUAGGUCGGAUUAGCUAGUUGGUGGGGUAAAGGCCUACCAAGGCGACGAUCCGUAACUGGUCUGAGAGGAUGAUCAGUCACACUGGAACUGAGACACGGUACAGACUCCUACGGGAGGCAGCAGUGGGGAAUAUUGGACAAUGGGCGAAAGCCUGAUCCAGACAGGCCGCGUGUGUGAAGAAGGUCUUCGGAUUGUAAAGCACUUUAAGUUGGGAGGAAGGGCAGUAAGUUAAUACCUUGCUGUUUUGACGUUACCAACAGAAUAAGCACCGGCUAACUUCGUG
RNAcentral lists this ribosomal RNA (484 nucleotides) under uncultured bacterium. Its description in RNAcentral is "partial 16S ribosomal RNA". It matches the Rfam family "Bacterial small subunit ribosomal RNA", at positions 30 to 507 of the family's 1533-position model. The record is from RNAcentral.